Molecule: ribosomal RNA, 301 nt
Filed under: uncultured bacterium
Lineage: Bacteria
Description: partial 16S ribosomal RNA
Rfam family: Bacterial small subunit ribosomal RNA
Source: RNAcentral
CAGUCGCCGCGGGAAUACGUAGGUGGCAAGCGUUGUCCGGAAUUAUUGGGCGUAAAGGGCUCGCAGGCGGUUUCUUAAGUCUGAUGUGAAAGCCCCCGGCUCAACCGGGGAGGGUCAUUGGAAGCUGGGAAACUUGAGUGCAGAAGAGGAGAGUGGAAUUCCACGUGUAGCGGUGAAAUGCGUAGAGAUGUGGAGGAACACCAGUGGCGAAGGCGACUCUCUGGUCUGUAACUGACGCUGAGGAGCGAAAGCGUGGGGAGCGAACAGGAUUAGAUACCCCCGUAGUCCCUGUCUCUUAUAA